CAACAGCGCAAGGGCGAUGAACCAGCAUCAGCAUCAGAGAUCCGGAGCAUCAGUGUUCAACCCACGCAGCUGGAUCACUGAAAUGAUGAAGCGUUGCGUUGAAUCUCAUCAGGUCCUUCUGGUUCAGAGACAUUUUGUGACAAAGUCAAGAUAACUGAAACCAACAUCGGAAGGAAAGUCUGCAAAGAGACAUGACAGGAAAGGAUGUACACAGUGAAUGAGAAAUGAUACCAUUCUGACAAUAUAAAUCCUGCAUCCCGCUGACUCAAACUGGGCACAAGAAUUGCAUGGUUUGUUUGGAGGAGAGCAUACCCAAAGGGACUGUCUGAGUGAGUCGAUGAACAUGAGCAUUAAAGAGGAAAAGCAGACGAUGGAUGAUGAAAAUGUGGAUGGAUGCGUGGAAGAGCUCUGGGGCUUUUCUGAGAGGAGACAAUACUGUUACAUGAUCCCAAUCCAGCCAGAAGCACACACAAAGAGGUAUUUCACCAAGAAAUGUCAUAAUUUACUCACCCUUAUGUUGCUUGAAACCUGUAUGUUGUCUGUGGAACACAAGAGUAGAUUUUUUUUGACAGUUUUUAGUGACCGAAAAGGAGAGAAAGAUAUUAAAGCAUGAUGAAAGGAUAAAAAAAGGUAGUCCUUUUGACUCAUGCAUGUGUUCCAAGUCUUCAGAAGUUGUAUUAUAACUAGGGGUGCACAUAAGUUUCUGGUUCUCAUGAGAGCACCUGGAGAUUUUGUUUGGUACUCACACUGCACAUACAGUAGUG
This is a long non-coding RNA of Cyprinus carpio (common carp), 764 nucleotides long. RefSeq lists it as uncharacterized. Lineage: Eukaryota; Metazoa; Chordata; Actinopteri; Cypriniformes; Cyprinidae. The record is from RefSeq and is a predicted model, not a curated record.